GGUAGGUAUUCGAGUGGCGAACGGGUGAGUAACACGUGGGUGAUCUGCCCUGCACUCUGGGAUAAGCCUGGGAAACUGGGUCUAAUACCGGAUAGGACCAUGCUUUAGUGUGUGUGGUGGAAAGUUUUUCGGUGUAGGAUGAGCCCGCGGCCUAUCAGCUUGUUGGUGGGGUAAUGGCCUACCAAGGCGGCGACGGGUAGCCGGACUGAGAGGUUGGUCGGCCACAUUGGGACUGAGAUACGGCCCAG
RNAcentral lists this ribosomal RNA (248 nucleotides) under uncultured Actinomycetales bacterium. RNAcentral's name for it is "partial 16S ribosomal RNA". It matches the Rfam family "Bacterial small subunit ribosomal RNA", at positions 82 to 334 of the family's 1533-position model. The record is from RNAcentral. Lineage: Bacteria; Bacillati; Actinomycetota; Actinomycetes; Actinomycetales.